Molecule: ribosomal RNA, 484 nt
Filed under: uncultured bacterium
Lineage: Bacteria
Description: partial 16S ribosomal RNA
Rfam family: Bacterial small subunit ribosomal RNA
Source: RNAcentral
AUUGAACGCUGGCGACAGGCCUAACACAUGCAAGUCGAGCGGAUGAAGGGAGCUUGCUCCUGGAUUCAGCGGCGGACGGGUGAGUAAUGCCUAGGAAUCUGCCUGGUAGUGGGGGAUAACGUCCGGAAACGGGCGCUAAUACCGCAUACGUCCUGAGGGAGAAAGUGGGGGAUCUUCGGACCUCACGCUAUCAGAUGAGCCUAGGUCGGAUUAGCUAGUUGGUGGGGUAAAGGCCUACCAAGGCGACGAUCCGUAACUGGUCUGAGAGGAUGAUCAGUCACACUGGAACUGAGACACGGUCCAGACUCCUACGGGAGGCAGCAGUGGGGAAUAUUGGACAAUGGGCGAAAGCCUGAUCCAGCCAUGCCGCGUGUGUGAAGAAGGUCUUCGGAUUGUAAAGCACUUUAAGUUGGGAGGAAGGGCUGUAAGUUAAUACCUUGCUGUUUUGACGUUACCAACAGAAUAAGCACCGGCUAACUUCGUG